GACGAACGCUGGCGGCGUGCUUAACACAUGCAAGUCGAACGGAAAGGCCCUGCUUUUGUGGGGUGCUCGAGUGGCGAACGGGUGAGUAACACGUGAGUAACCUGCCCUUGACUUUGGGAUAACUUCAGGAAACUGGGGCUAAUACCGGAUAGGAGCUCCUGCUGCAUGGUGGGGGUUGGAAAGUUUCGGCGGUUGGGGAUGGACUCGCGGCUUAUCAGCUUGUUGGUGGGGUAGUGGCUUACCAAGGCUUUGACGGGUAGCCGGCCUGAGAGGGUGUCCGGCAACAUUGGGACUGAGAUACGGCCCAGACUCCUACGGGAGGCAGCAGUGGGGAAUAUUGCACAAGGGGCGGAAGCCUGAUGCAGCAACGCCGCGUGCGGGAUGACGGCCUUCGGGUGGUAAACCGCUUUCGCCUGUGACGAAGCGUGAGUGACGGUAAUGGGUAAGAAGCACCGGCUAACUACGUG
Molecule: ribosomal RNA, 467 nt
Filed under: uncultured bacterium
Lineage: Bacteria
Description: partial 16S ribosomal RNA
Rfam family: Bacterial small subunit ribosomal RNA
Source: RNAcentral